This 1265-nucleotide long non-coding RNA is filed under the name Anas platyrhynchos platyrhynchos (common mallard). RNAcentral describes it as "lncRNA (ENSAPLG00000018852.1)". Lineage: Eukaryota; Metazoa; Chordata; Aves; Anseriformes; Anatidae. The record is from RNAcentral.
CAGCAGCUUUCUGGUCAUCCACUCAUUUGGCAAAACUGGCAAAACGUGCCCUCUCCUUUGGACUGCUGCUGUCGUCACGCUUCUCCUGGAUGCACUUAGCAUGCUGUACUGCUUGCCACCCAGCAGGUUAAUGACCCAUAAUUAUCUUCCCCAUAUAAUGAGGAAAGCUCAAUAUCUCCGCAGCGGACACACUAGCAUGCAGCCCAGGCAAAGUGUUUCAAUGUUAAACGAUACCUGAGGCCCUGCCCUGUUCCCACUGAAGUCGACAGUGAAUUCAUCGACUCUGCCGAGCUGUGGAUUUCCUAACUCUGCGGCACAAAGAAAAACGCUUGCUGAAGCCUCUGGCAGCAUUACCUGCAAAACGAGCGUGUGCAAAUUCAGUUUUAUUUAGGCUACGCAGUGAGUAUCCUGUUUUGAUCCAUGCUGAUUUAAAUCGAGCGUUGUGAACCUCGUUAUUUAGUGCUGCUCACAUGAGGCUGAAUUUGCUACAGUACCCUUGAGACAGGCAGGCUUUAUCCUGCCGAACAGAAACAUCCGCAGCUGUACCACACUGCUGCAGGCUCCUUGGAGUUACUUCAUCGCCGACUGACAGCUGUGUCCCCUGACCAUUAUCUGGUGGCCACAUACUUCAAUAGCGGACUGUAUGUACUGUAUGCACUAGACUACAGUGUGACCUGACAGCUCGGCUUCCUCUCCCAGAGUAUAUCUUCUGCUACUCUUUAGCAUCCUACAGUUUAUCUGUGGUCAGCUUUCUUACCCAUUUCCUGCCAGCUGCUACUGGUCUUUUAGUCAGCUCCGCCAGGCAUGCAGGCACUGGUGAGCUUUCUGAGCCUGAAACCGCGUUAUUUCUUGGAUAUAGGCAUUACAAUACAAGAUUUUAAAUGCAAGAUUUAAACACAAGAUUUCUUUGCACCUUGUGUAAUGACAAUUAAAAAAAUGUCGCUCUAAGAAAUAUGCCUCCUGUUUAUAAUGCGUUAUUCAUUUUAUUUCUUUUGAUUUCUUUUUAUGAGUUAUUCAUUUUAAUUUCUUGCCUUGUUGCAGUGUUAUGGCUGAGGCUUGACAAGCACGAAGUAGUUUCUCACAACAGUUAUAACUCAUUUUGUCAGCACAAGGAGCCCAGCACUCGGUAUCCUUCUUCCCUCCCUUGGCUGACUGCAUGCCUGGAAGCAGGAGCGCUUAAGUCAAAGUCUGAGGCAGACAACAUGGAAAAUCAAGAGGAAAAAGAAGUCAUGCUCAAGUUCUCGAGUUCAGCACUGACCUUCUGA